This 294-nucleotide ribosomal RNA is filed under the name uncultured bacterium. Its description in RNAcentral is "partial 16S ribosomal RNA". It matches the Rfam family "Bacterial small subunit ribosomal RNA", at positions 775 to 1067 of the family's 1533-position model. The record is from RNAcentral.
GGAUUAGAUACCCUGGUAGUCCACGCAGUAAACGAUGGAUACUAGAUGUUUGGAGUAUUAACCCUCUAAGUAUCGUAGCUAACGUAUUAAGUAUCCCGCCUGGGGAGUACGGUCGCAAGGCUAAAACUCAAAGGAAUUGACGGGGGCCCGCACAAGCGGUGGAGUAUGUGGUUUAAUUCGAUGCAACGCGCAGAACCUUACCUGGGUUUAACAUCCCUUGACAGCUAUAGAGAUAUAGUGUUCUUUUCGGAGACAAGGAGAUAGGUGCUGCAUGGCUGUCGUCAGCUCGUGCUG